GUUAAUAUCUGAGGUAUAAGUGAUGGAGCCUGUGAUUCGCAUCCAUGAUUCGUUGGUUCCUGCACUUGGCCUGGCUGAGUUGAGUGAAGAAUGGGUUCCCCUGAAAUGAGAGACCAGUUGUGUGCAUGUGUGGCGAAUGUGGUGACAAUGGCUGUGGGCUGUUGAGGAGUUGCAUUGGUGGGACGGCUAAUACCUCCGACAUGCGUCGACGUGGUGUUGUGAUGUGUACUGGCCAUGAAGACACACCCAGACUGCGUUUCCAUGGUGGUAACACGUGUGUGGAUGGACCUGAAAAAAACAAAUUUAAUAUUGUAUCCAAAUUGAUGUGAAAACACACCCAAUGCUAAUGUACUUACCAGCAUCAUCAGCAUCAUCAACAUCCUCAGCAUCAGUAGGAGUGGAGACUGGUCCAGAGGCUGUUUGUGACUUUUUGGAGACUGCAAAUGUAUAUAAAGCAUUUUAUUUUAAACCAAACAAUUCAAUCAACACACA
Long non-coding RNA from Pseudophryne corroboree (corroboree frog), 492 nucleotides. RefSeq lists it as uncharacterized. NCBI's taxonomy places the organism in Eukaryota, Metazoa, Chordata, Amphibia, Anura, Myobatrachidae. The record is from RefSeq and is a predicted model, not a curated record. The transcript is spliced from 3 exons.